AGAGCAGCAUGUUCCCUCUUGGUUUUCCACACUUCAUCCUAGUUCUUCUGUUUUCCUUUAAAACCAGAUCUCUCCCUUGGUCAGUCAUUAGCAUUCCACAGAAGUUAAGUAAAUUGAAAACACACACCACUGCCACAGGGCUGCGAGGGAAGGAAAUCGCACGCCCAACCAAUUCUUUGCACACGCACGAAGGGCUGGGAAUCUUGUCCAUCUCUUCUCCACAGACCUCACUAGUCCGAAUCAAGUCACAGAUCGCCUUGGAUUGACUGGAGUGGGUGUCCCAAAAGGNCUUCCAAAGAUUUAGCUGGAAGACGCCUGGCAGAGAAGAUUCCCAGCGCUGACUUUGAACUGCAUCAGAGACGCUGAAAAGCAGGCUGUGUCGCUUGUCCACCGGUGGACGCUUGACUGAAGACGGUGUGGAGCUUUGCUAUGCUUUCAAGGAGGUUGCUUUGCGUCUGGAGCCUGCUGCAGGGACUCUGUGUUCUGACACCUAUCCNUCUGGCUCACACCAUGGAAAAUAUCAGAUGGGAGGAUGCUGCUGUGGAGAUGGAGAUAGAAGAAGCUCAGCAGCCCCCAGAGGAACAUGGGGCGCAGUCUCCAAACCCAAAUUAUUGUGGCGUCACAUUUGACAUCCCCUGGUCUGGUAGUUCAUGCACACCAGCAAUGCAGGAGUCUCCACCAGCCACUCAAGAAGAGCUGGACCAUCUCAAGGCCCUGUUGGCCGACACUGGUGGGGUGCUGAAGAAAAUUGAAGAUACUGCCGCUCUGGAGGCCGGGAAGUCCAGAUACCAGGACAUUGUUUCCGAAGCUCUUCCAGANGUGAGGGAGGCCAACGUGGCGCUCCAUGAGAUCCUGGGGAAGUUCUUGCAAGAGCUGGAGGACCACAUCCAAGUGGACGAUCAUCCACACGUGGCCGAUGAGAAGAAGAAGCUAAACGAGCACUUGCAGAUAAUGGACCGCAUGCUUCAGGUCACUGGCCGUCUCGCUGAGCAGUUGGACCAGGCCUCCCGAAGCCUCCUGAGGACCCUGAACCAACCCUUGGAGAAAGCCCCGGCACUCAUGUACAGCCAGGCUCCGGGGCCAUCUUAGCUGCAGCCAUCUUCCCACUCUGAAAGCAUUAAAAAGCUG
Molecule: long non-coding RNA, 1128 nt
Filed under: Salvator merianae (Argentine black and white tegu)
Lineage: Eukaryota; Metazoa; Chordata; Lepidosauria; Squamata; Teiidae
Description: lncRNA (ENSSMRG00000012341.1)
Source: RNAcentral